AGGUGCUUGGAGCUUCCCCCUGCCAAGACCUUAUCUGAUGUUGGGAAAGACUGUCUGACUCUGAGCAAGAAGUUUUCUUUGGAACAAAGGACCUGAUAUUUAUCCUGGAAUUAUUUUCUGCCUCUGCCUGCAGGCCCAUCUUCCACCAAGGACAGUGAGCUGAUGGGAAGGAAUGUCAUAAAAAAUUCCAAACAAUGCAUACCUUCUGAAAAGGAUCACAUGCUUUGGGUGAAACCCUGGUUUUUUUCCAUGAAAAUGCCUCUCCUUCUCCCACUCCAGGAUUUUACACUUUAGGAAUAAAGGAGCUCAGGAGUUGGGAAAGGACUGGUGAUGUGGAUGUAAUUCCUGUGGCAAAGGAAGCUCUGGAAGGGCUCAGCCUCCUCUCUCUCUGAACUUUGUGGCGAGCAGCUCAGGUCAGGCCUCCCAGCACACCUUUUACUGCUCGCGCACUUGGCCCACCCGAACCCUUCUGCAGGCACACCAGUGGUUUUAAGGGAGGUAAAACUGAGGUAACUCAGUGUGUUUUAUCUCCUGCCUGGCUCUGGUGGCACCAGGGGAACUGACCCUGUCCCUCUCUAUCGCUGGUGCAUGCGGAUGCUCGCGCGUCUCCAUCCCUCACCCAUGGCCCUGCCGUGCCCUUCCCCUCGUGCCCACGGGGGUCUUUUCAGCAGCCUCUUAUGAGGGGUCCUGUGACAGAGCUUCUGACAGUCCAAAAAAAAAAAUUCCCAGCUAAAACUCCUUUAGGACUUUUUCUGUGCAUGAGAAAAUGAGUUUCGCCUUUAAAAACGGCGAUUUUUCGCUCGCUGUUGUGUUUGGAAUAUUGGCAUAUUUUAAGGGCUGUUUCAAUUUGCUUGCAGCAAUAAGGUAAAUCCUGGCACAACAUUACUUAAUUUCAGACAUUUUCUAAAAAUCUAAGGCUGAGUCAUGUUUUUUAAGUGAGGAAAGCCAUGCAAUUGCCUGUGCUAGUGUGACAUCAUGGGUGUCGGAGUUAAGAGAACAAAGCUUCAUAAAGUAUCUUUUCUUCCCCUUAAGAGUUUGAUUUGAGGGAAUUUAUUAGGUCUUGCCUAGA
Long non-coding RNA from Zonotrichia leucophrys gambelii, 1069 nucleotides. RefSeq lists it as uncharacterized. NCBI's taxonomy places the organism in Eukaryota, Metazoa, Chordata, Aves, Passeriformes, Passerellidae. The transcript is spliced from 3 exons. The record is from RefSeq and is a predicted model, not a curated record.